This 693-nucleotide ribosomal RNA is filed under the name uncultured Gammaproteobacteria bacterium. Its description in RNAcentral is "bacterial SSU rRNA". It matches the Rfam family "Bacterial small subunit ribosomal RNA", at positions 812 to 1504 of the family's 1533-position model. The record is from RNAcentral. Lineage: Bacteria; Pseudomonadati; Pseudomonadota; Gammaproteobacteria.
UCUACUAGCUGUUCGUGGUCUUGUACUGUGAGUAGCGCAGCUAACGCACUAAGUAGACCGCCUGGGGAGUACGGUCGCAAAAUUAAAACUCAAAUGAAUUGACGGGGGCCCGCACAAGCGGUGGAGCAUGUGGUUUAAUUCGACGCAACGCGAAGAACCUUACCUACUCUUGACAUCUACAGAAGUUGGCAGAGAUGCCGAUGUGCCUUCGGGAACUGUAAGACAGGUGCUGCAUGGCUGUCGUCAGCUCGUGUUGUGAAAUGUUGGGUUAAGUCCCGCAACGAGCGCAACCCUUAUCCUUAGUUGCCAGCACGUAAUGGUGGGAACUCUAGGGAGACUGCCGGUGAUAAACCGGAGGAAGGUGGGGACGACGUCAAGUCAUCAUGGCCCUUACGAGUAGGGCUACACACGUGCUACAAUGGUACGUACAGAGGGAGGCAAGCUGGCGACAGUGAGCGGAUCUCUUAAAGCGUAUCGUAGUCCGGAUCGCAGUCUGCAACUCGACUGCGUGAAGUCGGAAUCGCUAGUAAUCGCAAAUCAGAAUGUUGCGGUGAAUACGUUCCCGGGCCUUGUACACACCGCCCGUCACACCAUGGGAGUGGGUUGCAAAAGAAGUAGGUAGCUUAACCUUCGGGAGGGCGCUUACCACUUUGUGAUUCAUGACUGGGGUGAAGUCGUAACAAGGUAACCGUA